Molecule: unclassified non-coding RNA, 360 nt
Filed under: Bombus terrestris (buff-tailed bumblebee)
Lineage: Eukaryota; Metazoa; Arthropoda; Insecta; Hymenoptera; Apidae
Description: misc RNA ENSBTSG00005027038.1
Source: RNAcentral
AAUGAUUUUAAAACCGUAGCAGGAUUAAAGCUAAGUGAAAUUUAUGAGAUACCAAAUUUUAUUAUAUCGGACUUGAUGUUUGCUUAUUCGACGAGAAUGAUAUUCGAUCAGCGGUAAAUAAUCGUUGCAGACCGACCGUUGCUGAUAGUUUCAAAAAGCUUUCAUUGUUUUUAAAAUAGUCAAUAACUUUAUUUUAUUUUCGUGUAACUUUGUACUUAAUUUUUUAUUUUUUCUAAUAACGUAUCAUUUCAGUUUGCUCGUAACUAGAUCUCUUCCUCGUUCAGAAUUCUAUAAAAAUUAUUCGUAUGUUUUUAUGUCUUAUAUCUUUUCAAAGACGAGGUAUAAUUUUAUAAUCGAAUC